UACAGAGGGGGCAAGCGUUGUUCGGAAUUACUGGGCGUAAAGGGCGCGUAGGCGGAUUGCUAAGUCAGGGGUGAAAUCCUGGAGCUCAACUCCAGAACUGCCUUUGAUACUGGCGACCUUGAGUCCGGGAGAGGUGAGUGGAACUGCGAGUGUAGAGGUGAAAUUCGUAGAUAUUCGCAAGAACACCAGUGGCGAAGGCGGCUCACUGGCCCGGUACUGACGCUGAGGUGCGAAAGCGUGGGGAGCAAACAGG
RNAcentral lists this ribosomal RNA (253 nucleotides) under uncultured bacterium. RNAcentral describes it as "partial 16S ribosomal RNA". It matches the Rfam family "Bacterial small subunit ribosomal RNA", at positions 524 to 776 of the family's 1533-position model. The record is from RNAcentral.